AGUCAACGUUUGAUGGAGACAAAAUGUUGGAGCCUGCUCCUACCGGCAAAUAAACGGACUCAGGGUCUUCACGAAUAUGCAGCACAGCCAGCUGGGAUCCAGGCAGUCUGUUUUUGGUCUCAGCCUGGUUUCCCUCACUUCUUCGAUCAGGAAGUGCAGAAAGCACUAUCUCUGCUGCUCUGCAUCCCAGAGAUUCAUCCUCUGGAGACCCAGCUUCCUCUAUUGUUUCAGCACUCUGGGCAGGUUCUGUGAGAUAAGACAAAUCAAAGGGAGGUGUGUACGGUGCCAGCGACUGCUUCAGAGAAUCUUCCUCCAAAGGAGGGUCACCACCAUACAGGAAGUGUUCAGGCUCUCUCAGUAAAUCUUCAUCGAUAUUCUGGCCCAUUACAUCAUAUUCAAAAUCACCCCACGAGGCUUCAGAUGAGCAGAUAUCUUGCUUCCCUAGGUCCCCAUCAACUGGCGUUUCCGGAUGGCCUUCGGAUAAUGUCAGUUUACUCAUGUCAUCUAUUGUUCCCGUGGAUGUGUUGAGACCUGAGGCAUCGCUGAAACUGUGGUCAAAGGCAGCUUCGCUUAUAUCCAGACAAGUGUCUGAGGCUAGCAAAGCAUCAGGAACCAAGGCAGGAUUCUCUGUGGAUAAAUGUGGAUCACCAUCAAACAAAGCUCUUGCACCAGGCUGACUUUCAGGAGAAAAGCUGUCUGAUAUCCAAGAACCGUCACCUUCUGGAGUUGGCUCUUGAGACAGGGUUUCAUUAUGUUGCCCAGGCUGGACUUGAACUCCUGAGUUCAAAUGAUCUGCCUGCUUCGGCCUCCCAGAGUGCUAGGACUACAGGCAUGAGCCAUAGCACUUGGCCCUAUGAACUUUGUACAAUAUCAGAGUUCUGGAAGACGGAAAGUCCAAGAUCAAGAUCCUGACAUACUCGCUGUCUGAUGAGCACCUGCCUCCUGAUUCAUAGGCUGCCAUCUUUUUGCUGUGUCCUCACGUGACAGAAAAGGUCUGCAGGCUCACUGACACUCUCUGAAGAUGGCGGGUUCCUAAAAAGUCAUGAGAGUUGAGGGAUGCAUUUCAGUGUAUGCUCAGAGACAUCAUGGCUUUCAUCAUCUUCCUUCUUCUUCUGAGUAACCAACUCUAGGUAACCUCUGUUUAGAAGUCUGAACAUUAAGCACAAAAGAAUUAUUUGAUACUUCUCAUGUUUUAGAAUUGAAAUUACUUUGCUUUAGGAAGAUUUUUAGAGGGAUGAAGUCAAAGGUAGCAUGUGUCAUAGAGCACAUUAACCUUUCAAAGCCCUUUGAAAGACUUUGAAAUAUAUUAUUAUCUUAUCACAGCCUCAUAAUCACCCUGUGAAGUGGGCAGAGCUGGUGUUGGAAUCCAAUUUUAUAAGAAAACUGACACGGGGAGGGAGCUAAGAGCUUAAGGGCCUCAACCAAACUACAUUACGCAUGGAUUACCUCGUAUAUUCCACUAUUCUUAUCCCAUUUUCCACAAAGAACACCAAACUGCAGAAGUAAAACAGGAUACUAAGGAGGAAGAGAAAAAUCUCAUGGACAAAUAUAUAGUAGAUGUAAAAAUAAAUGCUAGAGUGCAGGAGUAGAAUUCCUGGUUUGGAUACCAGCUGUAGCCCAUGCAGCUCUGUCAUUAAGUAGUGAUGUGGCUCGAUGUGAAAAGUGACAGCCUCAAGCUCUCGGUUUAGAGCCAUGCCUAUAAACACAGGAAGUACUCAAUAAAUGACACUAUUAAUAGUCUUUAAUGCUAUCAUGAAUGAUGAUAACAAAAAGAAUGGGGUUGGCAAGCACCACUGAGCCUUUCCCAAAUAUAAGUCUAUAUAAUCGCUUACCAGAAAUCCCUGGAACCAGGGAUAUAGUUUGUUACUGAAUUUUUUUUUUUUUAAUUUGAGAAAGGUAAAAUGGUGCUUAUAAUGUAUACUAUGAAUCAACCCAAGUGAAGCCUAGGGCAGCUCCCCUAAAGCACACAAAUAUAUAUGCAUCAAAAUAUAUAAAGAGGGAUAAAGGCCAUAAAUAUCACAUCAGAGUUUGCUGUCAGAGUUUCAAAAGCCCUAGAGUUUUCGGAACUCUUUAGAUUUCAAAAUUGUAGAUGGGGGACUACAGACCUGGAUUAAUUCUCAAUAAAAUGUUAACUAUCCACCAGGCGCGGUGGCUCAUGCCUGUAAUCCCAGCUCUUUGGGAGGCCAAGGCAGGCAGAUCACGAGGUCAGGAGUUUGAGACCAGUCUGGCCAACAUAGUGAAACCCCGUCUCUAAUAAAAAUACAAAAAAUUAGCCGGAUGUGGUGGUGUACACCUGUAAUCCCAGCUACUCGGGAGGGUGAGGCAGGAGAAUUGGGUGAACCUGGGAGGUGGAGGUUGCAGCGAGCUGACCUGGGCGACAGUAUGAUACUCUGUUUCAAAAAAAAAAACAAAGUUAACUAUCAAAUAUCCAGUGCUCAGUGAAAAAGAGCAGGGAUCAUUUCUAAUUAUAUGUGGAGGUUAAUUUAGAAUUAGGCAUUGAAGACCGGGCACGGUGGCUCACGCCUGUAAUCCCAGCACUUUGGGAGGCCGAGGCAGGCGGAUCACGAGGUCAGGAGAUCGAGACCAUCCUGGAUAGCAUGGUGAAACCCCAUCUCUACUAAAAAUACAAUAAAUUGGCCAGGCAUGGUGGUGGGUGCCUGUAGUCCCAGCUACUUGGGAGGCUGAGGCAGGAGAAUGGCGUGAACCCGGGAGGUGGAGCUUGCAGUGAGCUGAGAUCGUGCCUC
This is a long non-coding RNA of Homo sapiens (human), 2744 nucleotides long. Ensembl annotates it as prostate cancer associated 3. Its record names the gene PCA3. The record is from Ensembl. NCBI's taxonomy places the organism in Eukaryota, Metazoa, Chordata, Mammalia, Primates, Hominidae.